GACGAACGCUGGCGGCGUGCCUAAUACAUGCAAGUCGAACGAGAGCGACCGGUGCUUGCACUGGUCAAUCUAGUGGCGAACGGGUGAGUAACACGUGGGUAACCUGCCCAUCAGAGGGGGAUAACAUUCGGAAACGGAUGCUAAAACCGCAUAGGUUCUACAGUCGCAUGACUGGAGAAGGAAAAGAGGCUUCGGCUUCUGCUGAUGGAUGGACCCGCGGUGCAUUAGCUAGUUGGUGAGGUAACGGCUCACCAAGGCCGUGAUGCAUAGCCGACCUGAGAGGGUGAUCGGCCACAUUGGGACUGAGACACGGCCCAAACUCCUACGGGAGGCAGCAGUAGGGAAUCUUCCGCAAUGGACGCAAGUCUGACGGAGCAACGCCGCGUGAGUGAAGAAGGAUCUCGGUUCGUAAAACUCUGUUGUUAGAGAAGAACAGCGCAUAGAGUAACUGUUAUGCGU
RNAcentral lists this ribosomal RNA (459 nucleotides) under Granulicatella elegans. RNAcentral describes it as "bacterial SSU rRNA". It matches the Rfam family "Bacterial small subunit ribosomal RNA", at positions 28 to 468 of the family's 1533-position model. The record is from RNAcentral. Lineage: Bacteria; Bacillati; Bacillota; Bacilli; Lactobacillales; Carnobacteriaceae.